Molecule: long non-coding RNA, 437 nt
Filed under: Daphnia pulicaria
Lineage: Eukaryota; Metazoa; Arthropoda; Branchiopoda; Diplostraca; Daphniidae
Description: uncharacterized LOC124313618, transcript variant X2
Source: RNAcentral
GGCAAUGUUGCCCGUUCUUUUCAAGAUGGCUGCUGGCAUUGAUACAGGAGUGAUGGCUUUUCCCGAUUCCUGACUGACGAUUUUCCUGGUGUUGUGGAAGUGAGGACUACAGAAGCAGAUUGCUGAUUCAAAUAUGUUCCAGCAUUUCUUCUGUAGUGAUUUCACAGCCAGAUGAAGUCCGAGAUUCUGCAGUGCUGUCUAAUGUGCUCAUGGUUUAGUGCAGCCAGCUGAUAAAUGGUGUGGUGAGCUGCUGCAUUGUGCUGGUGUGGUGAGCUGCUGCUUAUUCUAACAGAUAUCAAAUAUAUUUUGUCUGCCUCAAUAGUAGAACUUAUUCCAAACUGAUAUCAUGGUAUCCUCAUUCCUAUACAUAUGAUUGUUUGUUUGAUUUUAUGGUGAGGUUUGAUUGGUUAGUGAAUAAUAAAUAACAUUUAUAUUAA